Molecule: RNA transcript, 1758 nt
Organism: Setaria italica (foxtail millet)
Lineage: Eukaryota; Viridiplantae; Streptophyta; Magnoliopsida; Poales; Poaceae
Gene name: protein root UVB sensitive 3
Exons: 16
Source: RefSeq, a predicted model, not a curated record
GGGUUGAGAUCAUCAACCGACCGAGGCCGAGCUGCACGACCCACUCCGACUUCUACCAGUGCCAAGUCAACUCAACUCCACUCUUCGACGGGAGGCAGCCAACCUACCCGCCCGAAUUCCCGAUCCAGCCAGCGAUCCCGGGCUCCCGGCGCCGGUAGCGGAACACGGGAGGAAAAAAAAUGGACGCGUCGCACCCGCAGGGCGAGGCCGCGGCGGGGUGGUUGACGGUCGAGGAGUGGAGCGGCUCGUCCGCCUCCGCGCUCUCCCGCACCGCCGUCCUCACCGCCUCCGCCUCCUCUCUCACCUCCCACAGGUUCGGCAGCCGGUGGGGGCGGAUCGGCGGCCGCAUGCUAGGCGCCUUCGUGCCCGAGGGCUUUCCUGGGAGCGUGACUCCGGAUUACGUUCCUUUCCAGAUGUGGGAUACAUUGCAAGGGCUCUCCACAUACAUCCGUGCAAUGUUGUCUACACAAGCUCUUUUAGGUGCGAUCGGAGUCGGAGAACAAUCUGCUACUGUCAUAGGUGCUACUUUUCAGUGGUUUCUGAGGGAUUUGACAGGAAUGCUUGGAGGGAUAUUGUUCACCUUUUAUCAGGGAUCUAAUCUUGAUAGCAAUGCGAAAAUGUGGCGUCUAGUUGCAGACUUUAUGAAUGACCUUGGAAUGUUGAUGGACCUCUUAAGCCCUUUGUUUCCUUCAUCAUUGAUAGUUAUAAUGUGCUUAGGCAGCCUAUCUAGGUCAUUCACUGGUGUUGCUAGUGGAGCAACUAGAGCAGCAUUAACACAGCAUUUUGCACUUGCAAAAAAUGCAGCUGAUAUUUCUGCGAAGGAGGGCAGUCAGGAGACACUUGCUACAAUGGUAGGGAUGGGAUUGGGAAUGCUGCUGGCUCACAUAACCAGAGGUCAUGCUUUCAGUGUAUGGGCGUCAUUCCUUUCUCUCACAAUGUUCCACAUGUAUGCAAAUUAUAAGGCAGUCAAGUCACUUUCACUCACUACGCUAAACGAUGAGAGAACUUCCAUCCUACUACAGCACUUCAAGGAAUGUGGCGAAGUUCUUGCACCGCAGGAGGUUUCUCAGAAGGAACAUAUUCUUCCUUUUUGGUCAAGCUGGAGGAAAUUAAUUAGAAUUAAACUGCCACAUGAGCGUGUGCACUUAGGUGCUAAAGCCUCUAUGCUUACACAUACUGACAUGUUGGAGAUUGCAAAAACAGGAUCCCACUAUGAAAACACCAACUACCUUUUGCUGGAUAAGGAAGGCGGUGUUCACAUUUUCAUCCACAAGCAGGCAGCACCAGCUGAUGUUUUGAAGUCCUUCAUACAUGGACUCAUGCUAGCAAGUUCGGCGUGGAACGUCAAAUCUCAGCAUGCAGAGGCUAGUCGAUGGAUGGACGAGAAGUAUACCACUUUUAUCUCCAAGCUGCAGGCGAAGGGUUACUCAACAGAGCGCCUUCUGUCGCAUUCAAUUGUUUGGAGGGCACGCUGGCUUCACGGCACGCUGGAUGAAAAGCUCAAGUAGGAGGAACGAAGCCCUACGGGCUUAUCGUCCAAAUCUAACUUGGGUGAGACCGCGGUAACAUGAAUACAUGACAAAAGACAGACGCAUGAGUUUCACUAAGACCAGCAAAUCUUGUUUUCCCUAUCGACAAUGUAGCAAGGUCUUCACUACCAGGUGCUGGCCUGUAUGCUCAAGCUCAGCAUGUCCUACAAAUCACUGUGAUGGGAACUCUUCGCUGCAUACAACGCACCUACAGGAAAUGCUCUUGCUA